This is a long non-coding RNA of Triticum aestivum (bread wheat), 2498 nucleotides long. RefSeq lists it as uncharacterized. NCBI's taxonomy places the organism in Eukaryota, Viridiplantae, Streptophyta, Magnoliopsida, Poales, Poaceae. The record is from RefSeq and is a predicted model, not a curated record. The transcript has 3 exons.
AUGAUAUAAGAAGGAACCCCUCGACCAGGAUUAGAUCGCAUCGAAAGUUUCUUGCCCGACAUCGCCGUGUUACAAGUUUUUGACAUCGCCGUUCCUGUACGCCGUCGAUUUCGCCGGAGAUCCGUCUGCACGUGCUCCACCGCCCGCCGGAAUUUCUCCCGGUCUAAGGGUAGCCUGUAGUUCCUGCCGAGUCACAGAGUAACAUUGAGGUGAGGAGGCGGCGGCCAGCACAAGCCCCAGGAGCCGCAGUGGGGCUACGAGAACGGCGACAACAAUGACUAGCGGCCGCCAGGUCUUGGUGGCAUGACAUCCUCCUUGUCCAUCAUAACGUACUUCUCCACCGCCCAGUGUGGGUGACGACGCGGCAGCGGUCGACCAGCACUCGUGGCGGCGCUUGCCCAUCUGACGCGAUGGCGGAUUGGCGGCUCGGGCCCUCGGCAGUCGGCAGAGCGAAGUUCACGAUGUCUCUCUCUGGACAGGGUGGAGCUCGUGCAUCCGGCGUGGCUGAUGCAUCUGCGCAGCACUACGGAUCGCUGUGGGCACGACGACCUGAUGGCGCGUGCGAUGCGACGGCAGCCAGCGGUGCGGCACUGUAGUUGUCUCUGGAAAGCUGACGGGCGAGACAUGGGAGGCGGUGGGCGAGACAUGCACCGGGGUUGACUGGAUGAUGAGGUAACUACUAACUACUGGAUGACCAGGUGCUCAUGGAGGACUCGGUGAAUCAUGAAGCAGAUCGAGGAGUUCACUGACGCGCAUGUAUGACGGUUUUUCAAAUUUCAGAGUUUCAGAGGUUGCAGUACGAGCAUGUGGAAAGGAUGCACUCUAUGGUGUUCUUCCUGAUAGAUGUACUAAUGGACAUGAUUUGUCUCUAUCUAAAUACUAAGAUCGAGUUCACACGUGCAGGUGAUGCAAAGGCUAAUCUUCUUUCACAUGUUUUUGUCGUCUUUACCACUGAAAUUUUGUUUCCAAUUUGUUCAGUUCCAGCUAUACCACUUUGUUUAUGCAAUUAACUGUAAAUUUUGUCGGGUAUUGAGGGUCCCCUAACUGUUUAUGUCCUAGCCAGUCCACAGGAUUACAAUCGUGGUCGUGUGAUAUUUGUGAUGUUCUUUACACUGAUUCAAUGCAAGUGAUGUGUGUUCUUGUCCUUUUGAAUUUCUUUUAUCUCAGGUUCAAUCUUCUUAUUGAACAAAUGAAAUUCACACUUGGAUGGAAGGAUUUGUGAUUCAGCAAUAAACGUUUUAUUUUGUAGAAAUACAUAUUUAGAUUUGGUUAGUUUAUCCACAAACCCACGUGCGUAGAACUAAAGCAUGUUCUUUUCUUCAUGUAAUUGUGUUUAAGAACGGGGAGGGCAGAGAUUUUGUCUACUGAUGGUUGCAGAACAUAAUAUGAUUACUUUGUUGCUUCAGUAUUAUUGACAUUCCUCCUCUCUGAUGUUGUCCUGUCUAAGUUGAGUUAGGUCAGUGGGUUAGAAACUUAGAAUCUUAUUUGCACAUCCGUACAAAAAAUAUAUGUAUUUAAACAUCCAUUCUCAAAAAGCAUGUCAAUAUGCCAGCAUGCAUAUGGCCAACAUCGCAAGUAGGGGAGUUCAAAAGAAUCGUAGAUCUUACACUGGGGAGCUCAGGCUACACCCCAGAACAACCAGACCCAGUCAAGCACCAAAAGACAACAAUUCACCAUGCAACGACAAUCUAAGUUCCUAAAUAUUGUAAUCAUAUAGAACUGGAAGCAUAUCAAAGUAAUUUGUAGGUAGUUUUGUUCCUAGAUUCAGAACUGUCUUUGUAGGAAUAUAUUACUAACGAAUUAAAUCAACUACAAAAAUUGCCGGACAAUACUUACUGAGAUGAAUAUAACGGCAAGGUGGAUUAGAGAGGCAAUAUAUUGGAGCAAUAGCACACCCACGACGUAGCUGAGGGACCGAUCGGAAUUUAUAUGAUGUCUUGACUGUAGGGCGGCAGAUAUAGAAUGGAGGCAGUGUACUAUGUGCCAGCGGCAUGAGGAUUCUCAAGGAAUAUGCUUAACUCAAUCAGUGUUGAACCACCGGAAUAUUUAUGCACUCGAUGGUUACGCGCACAGGUAGAACAAACAAUCUGUAGGCAAGUAUGUUUGCUAUAAUGAGCCCCUACAAGUAUCUUAUUUGCUGUUUCGUGUAGCACAAAGAAGCUUAUAGAUAAUAGAAGGCUUGUUAUUUAACAGUAUAACAUAGACUAUAUACCAAUGUCACUUUUGAUGUUUGGGUUCUCAUCCGUUCUUAUCUUGCAUACAUUCAUUAUCAUUUUUCUCUUGUUGUGCAAUUUUUGUACAAUGUCGCACUUUAACGAGUAACUAUGAUUAUUCUUUUCAUACAGACUUGUGUCGAGCUAAAUUGUGCUACUUGGCCAUUGAAUUGGAUUAUUAUGGUGGUUACAGUUUCUGACUCAAACAUGUAGAAGGAAUUCAAGAAUGAUUUUUUUGAUAAGUAGAUAUAUUUUGGAAAAUCAUUAGGUGUUGUCCUAUCUAUA